Molecule: ribosomal RNA, 589 nt
Filed under: uncultured bacterium
Lineage: Bacteria
Description: bacterial SSU rRNA
Rfam family: Bacterial small subunit ribosomal RNA
Source: RNAcentral
GAUGGGCAUGCGUCCUAUUAGUUAGUUGGCGGGGUAACAGCCCACCAAGACGAUGAUAGGUAGGGGUUCUGAGAGGAAGGUCCCCCACAUUGGAACUGAGACACGGUCCAAACUCCUACGGGAGGCAGCAGUGAGGAAUAUUGGUCAAUGGACGAGAGUCUGAACCAGCCAAGUCGCGUGAGGGAAGACUGCCCUAUGGGUUGUAAACCUCUUUUAUAAGGGAAGAAUAAGUUCUACGUGUAGAAUGAUGCCUGUACCUUAUGAAUAAGCAUCGGCUAACUCCGUGCCAGCAGCCGCGGUAAUACGGAGGAUGCGAGCGUUAUCCGGAUUUAUUGGGUUUAAAGGGUGCGUAGGCGGUUUAUUAAGUUAGUGGUUAAAUAUUUGAGCUAAACUCAAUUGUGCCAUUAAUACUGGUAAACUGGAGUACAGACGAGGUAGGCGGAAUAAGUUAAGUAGCGGUGAAAUGCAUAGAUAUAACUUAGAACUCCGAUAGCGAAGGCAGCUUACCAGACUGUAACUGACGCUGAUGCACGAGAGCGUGGGUAGCGAACAGGAUUAGAUACCCUGGUAGUCCACGCCGUAAACGAUG